GUGGCUUGCUACAUGACCUAGCGGCGGACGGGUGAGUAAUACUUAGGAAUCUGCCUAUUAGUGGGGGACAACGUUCCGAAAGGAGCGCUAAUACCGCAUACGCCCUACGGGGGAAAGCAGGGGAUCUUCGGACCUUGCGCUAAUAGAUGAGCCUAAGUCGGAUUAGCUAGUUGGUAGGGUAAAGGCCUACCAAGGCGACGAUCUGUAGCGGGUUUGAGAGGAUGAUCCGCCACACUGGGACUGAGACACGGCCCAGACUCCUACGGGAGGCAGCAGUGGGGAAUAUUGGACAAUGGGCGCAAGCCUGAUCCAGCCAUGCCGCGUGUGUGAAGAAGGCCUUAUGGUUGUAAAGCACUUUAAGCGAGGAGGAGGCUUACCUGGUUAAUACCUAGGAUAAGUGGACGUUACUCGCAGAAUAAGCACCGGCUAACUCUGUGCCAGCAGCCGCGGUAAUACAGAGGGUGCAAGCGUUAAUCGGAAUUACUGGGCGUAAAGCGCGCGUAGGUGGCCAUUUAAGUCAAAUGUGAAAUCCCCGAGCUUAACUUGGGAAUUGCAUUCGAUACUGGGUGGCUAGAGUAUAGGAGAGGAAGGUAGAAUUCCAGGUGUAGCGGUGAAAUGCGUAGAGAUCUGGAGGAAUACCGAUGGCGAAGG
RNAcentral lists this ribosomal RNA (651 nucleotides) under uncultured Acinetobacter sp. RNAcentral's name for it is "bacterial SSU rRNA". It matches the Rfam family "Bacterial small subunit ribosomal RNA", at positions 75 to 721 of the family's 1533-position model. The record is from RNAcentral. Lineage: Bacteria; Pseudomonadati; Pseudomonadota; Gammaproteobacteria; Moraxellales; Moraxellaceae.